AUUAGAUACCCUGGGUAGUCCACGCUGUAAACGAUGGAUACUAGGUGUGCGGGGACUGACCCCCUGCGUGCCGCAGCCAACGCAAUAAGUAUCCCACCUGGGGAGUACGAUCGCAAGGUUGAAACUCAAAGGAAUUGACGGGGGCCCGCACAAGCGGUGGAUUAUGUGGUUUAAUUCGAUGCAACGCGAAGAACCUUACCAGGGCUUGACAUCCUGCUAACGAGGUAGAGAUACGUCAGGUGCCCUCCGGGGAAAGCAGAGACAGGUGGUGCAUGGUUGUCGUCAGCUCGUGUCGUGAGAUGUUGGGUUAAGUCCCGCAACGAGCGCAACCCCUAUUUCCAGUAGCCAGCAGGUAGAGCUGGGCACUCUGGAGAGACUGCCCGGGAUAACCGGGAGGAAGGUGGGGAUGACGUCAAAUCAUCAUGCCCCUUAUGAUCAGGGCUACACACGUGCUACAAUGGCGUAAACAAAGGGAAGCGAGACGGUGACGUUGAGCAAAUCCCAAAAAUAACGUCCCAGUUCGGAUUGUAGUCUGCAACUCGACUACAUGAAGCUGGAAUCGCUAGUAAUCGCGAAUCAGAAUGUCGCGGUGAAUACGUUCCCGGGUCUUGUACACACCGCCCGUCACACCAUGGGAGUCGGGAAUGCCCGAAGUCGGUGACCCAACCAAUAAGGAGGGAGCUGCCGAAGGCAGGUCUGGUGACUGGGGUGAAGUCGUAACAAGGUACC
RNAcentral lists this ribosomal RNA (729 nucleotides) under uncultured bacterium. RNAcentral's name for it is "bacterial SSU rRNA". It matches the Rfam family "Bacterial small subunit ribosomal RNA", at positions 777 to 1500 of the family's 1533-position model. The record is from RNAcentral.